CAAGCAGACUCUCAGGGAGCAGGACCCAGGCAACAGUGGUUGUAAAGCUCCCAGGUGAUGCUGUCUGGCCAAGGAUAAGGACCGCUGGCGGUGCUCCUUGGACCAAUGGAGAUGAGAUGGUGGCAGCCGCAUGGGAUCCUUCAGGAGGCCAAGAAGUUGUUCGGCCAGCCCUUUAGGUGGCCCACCUCCAUGGCUGCUAGCCCUUUUCCAGAUAGCUCUACUUUUUAUGUAAUGGGGUCAGCCUGCCUAUAAACUUAUUGGCAGCAUCUGAACUCCCAGUCUGGGCUGCUCAAGACAGAUGCUGGAGUGCAGAUAUUUGCUUUAAAGGAGGAGGUACAAUAUUGUCAAGAGAGCUGUGUUCUGCAAGUUGCCGAAAAGACGGCCAACUGGUAGACCUGCAUUUGCUUCCCUCUUCAGGGCUCGGGUUGAAGCAUGUAAAUGUUGUUGCAGGUGGGUAAAGGUGAGCACGGAUUGAAAUCUGUACAAUGCAAAAACAUGCAAAUUGGGCUUUAAAAUAAAAGACCAAUUUUUAUAUCAAAUCUUUACCUUGAGGUCGGUGCCCCAGGCAACUGCAGACGAGCAGCCCGACAUCUAGCAGACCUGUUUAGAUCUGGGCUCUGGAUUUAGCAAAAUUUCUUCGCUUACCAAUCAUGUGCCCUUGCCAGGGUAGCUGAUAAAGCCUCAGAGAAGGGACAUUUUCUCGCAUGGUGCCAGGCAGAGUGCACACCCAGCGCAUAGGAAUUCUCCCCCCUUCCUUCUCUGCCCCAUUUUAAAGAGGGGGGUGUCUCUUGCUCUCACUUGCCCUUCGGCCCAAUGGUAAGUGAAGUAAAAACCCCUCAAGAGCGGAAGGGCUGGUCUAGGCAGAGUGUUAUUUUUCACAGGCUGAGAGGAAAGGGACCAUCUGGCUUCGCCCUGGGAACCAGCGACUGCCCACUGCCUGGUGUGAGAUCUUCUCACUAGACCACUGGGUCUGACAUGGUAAGAGGAAGCCGAUGGUUAAUUUUCUGACCAAGAUGCUCAGCUAAAAGGCCACAGAAGUGGCUCUAAUACUUUUGCCACUCCUGGUGUAUUUUGGUUUCAGAGGCAAUGACUUCACCUCACAAGGUGACCAUUUCCUAUUUGGGGUCUUUUUCAAGGGUAUGGAGAAAUACCCCCUAAAGGGUGUGUGAGUCUCUCUUGUGCCCAGUGGGCUUCAAGGCAAGAGGGCAGCAUAAAUCCCUUUGGUGAGAGAAGGCAUUUAAAAUGACUCUUGGACAACAGUUCCUGGCUUAGUUGCUUUGAUCUCACUUUCCUUUGGCUUGAGUUGCAUCCCAACUAAGCUGAAAAGCCUGGGCCCCCUUUUUACUUCCUCCCCAAAUUGUGAGAUUCGGUUUUCCUUUUAAAAAAAAAAAUCAUGGAUAACUUAAUACAGUUAAUUACAGUAAAGCCAUCUGUCCGGUAACUCGUCCACCCGCUGUUUCUUAGACAAAGACCCUGAAACAUUCAGCCUUUAUCUCUUUAGAGGAAGAAUUUGUUUCUCCCGCCGGUACUCCGCUGCCCUCGGGCCUUCCUUCCACCUCGCUGCCAAAAGGGAUUUGGACCCUCGAUGCAGCCUUUCAAAUCUCAAGGAAUGCGAAUUACAUUUCCAGAAGCGUAGGGCUUUUCCGGGGUCGCGCUGAUUUGGGACAUUCCAAGCCCCGGGCGGCGAGUCCCGCCCUCCGGCCCCGCCCCCCCGCGCUCCGGCCCCGCCCUCAAGCCCCACGACUCCCAAAGGCAGGGGCGGGGCCGCGCUCACGUGGUCUCCUUGAGGCGGGGAGGCUUGGCCCUCCAACUUUUGGGUUAAAUUUCAACCCGAUUCUCUGUGUGGGGCGGCCAGACAGGUCACUGCCUGAUUAGAGACCUUGUUUAGGCUUGGAGGUGGUCUCCAUAAACAGAUCAGAAACGCAGACGAUGGGCGGCGGUAUCACUGGCAAUAGGAAAAUGGCAGGUUCUUGGGAGCUUUGGACAUUUUCCUUUCUCCUGCGCCAGGCAUCGCUUUAACUCUUCUCGAGUUUCUGCCUGGCUGAAAGUGAGGGGCAGUUCACAUUGUUUUUCUGAAGUGAAAUCUAAAAUGUGGCUCAAAUGAACCUUUCUACAAAACAGAAACAGACUCACAGGUAUGGAGAAUAGACUUGUGGUUGCCAGGGGGCAGGGUGAAGGCAGAGGGAUGGACAGGGAGUUUGGGGGUAGUAGAUGCAAACUGUGACGUUUGAAAUGGAUAAACAAGAUUCUACUGUAUAACACGGGAAACUGUAUCCAGUUUCCUGGGAUAAACUGUAACAGAAAGGAAUUUUUUUUUUUAGGGCUGCACUCGCGGCAUAUAGAGAUUCCCAGGCUAGGGGUCUAAUCAGAGCUACAGCUGCGGGCCUACAUCACAGCCACAGCAAAACCAGUUCUGAGCGCUUCUACGACCUACACCACAGCUCAUUGGCAGUGCCGGAUUCUUAACCCACUGAGUGAGGCCAGGGAUCGAACCCGCAACUUCAUGGUUCCUAGUCAGAUUCAUUUCCGCUGCACCACGAUGGGAACUCCUGGAAUUUUGAUAAAUUAUUUCUUUUUAAAAAUUAAAAAAAAAAAAGUGACCUUUACUUAAACUAAAUAGAUGCUGUCCCUUUUGGAAGAAAACACCAGCAAGGAGAUAGAGAGGCAGAGGGUUCUGUCUCAGAGAGGCGCCUGUUAUUUGGGGCACGUAGACCCAUCUACGAAGGAGUCUCCCCCAACUCCUCUAGCCUAAGUCCCUUCCCCCAUUCCUAGCAUGUCUGCUGGGGCUGCCCCUUGGGGACACUCCUCUUCUUGGCCCCCACUCUGUGCCUGCCCUGUUUCUCUAGCUGGGAGUGGUCAUUGUCACUUCCUGGGAGGCCUUGCUCGUCCCAUAGGAAACCUCUUUCCUGAGAGCAGCCUAGAGUGAGCCUCUUGUGAACAGGCUUGUCAAGACCCUGUAAAAACCUGACCAAAGCCUUGGCCCAGCCUGGCCCUUUCUGAAAUAGAUAAUUCGCGUUUUUUCCCUCUGACUGGGCCUGGUGAUGCUAAUAAAAACGAACGCCUAGGGAGCAUUUCAUGCUCACUCACAGAGUCCCAAGCUCAUUUUGCAGAUAAGGAAACACACCUGCAAAAUCGAGCACAGUGAGCUUGCCUGAAGUUGCACAGCUAGUACAUGGCAGCACCGGAAUUCACACUUAGCCUGCUCCAGAUCUCCUGUUUCUAACCUCGAGUCUAGACUAAUGGGUUUCCUUCCGGGGCUCAGCCCUCUCCCUUUGCUUGGAGGUCUGCAGCCAACUCCAUGAGGAUUUUCUUUUCUUCUCUCCUGAGUCUGAGGCUGAGGUCUUGCCACACUAGGGAGAAACGUUGGUUUCCAUGCGCAUUCCUAAGUUUGCAUUGGUAGUCAGUUUCCAUUUUGUGUCCUUUUCUUUUCCGUGGGCCAUUUUUGUCAUGUUUAAUAACUGUCUGUUAGUAACCGGUUCUUUCAUAAAACUUUUCACAUCAAUAAUGUUAGAAAAAUAGUCUUUGUCAGCAUCCAUAUCCUGGUUUGGGUUUGGACAAGUGAUGUGUGGCCAGAGAGCAUAUUCUGGAAUUGGACCUGUCUGUUUAAAUAUAGACCCCACCACGGACUGGCAACGUAUCU
RNAcentral lists this long non-coding RNA (3640 nucleotides) under Sus scrofa (pig). RNAcentral's name for it is "lncRNA (ENSSSCG00000046044.1)". Lineage: Eukaryota; Metazoa; Chordata; Mammalia; Artiodactyla; Suidae. The record is from RNAcentral.